UACUCUGCCUCAUUAUACUCCUUUUGCCUU
RNAcentral lists this non-coding RNA (30 nucleotides) under Mus musculus (house mouse). Lineage: Eukaryota; Metazoa; Chordata; Mammalia; Rodentia; Muridae. The record is from RNAcentral.